UUGGCAAUAAAAGAUCCAAACUUCUAACAAAGACAAAAAAUAACGUAUGGAAUCCCAACUCUCUCAUGCUCAGCAGACUUCUACCAUCAUUCGUUCAUGGCCUGCAGGCCCUGGUGUGAACACUCUGCUCUGGGGUACAAAAUGAUGGCCAGAAGGUCUCAGGUGCAGGCUUCUGGGGCUCGGUUUUUGGGACGCUAGCUCUCUGAGGUCAGGUUGCAUAGCCAUUCACAUCACAGGGAGUGGGAGGGUAACCCUGGCAUUGGGAGAAAGAGAACCAGUGGAUGGAUUUGGUGGUUCUGCCAUCAGGGGGAGCAGAUGCCAGCACUGAACAUGCCCUGGAAGCCCGCCAGCAUUGCCAGAAAAGUCACCAAGCUGCAGAGGUCUCACUGUGAGCCCCUCUGCACACCGCAUGUGUUGAGGACAAAAGGAGAGCAGGUUUCCUUGGGGCAGAGCUGCAGACAGCAUGAGAAUGAGAACGGGGACACUACACAGAACAAACACCAUGGAAACAGCUACGCGAGCAUGGGUCCGCUUCAAAGUCUUGUCUAGAACUGGCAAUGGUGGAUCCACCCCUCUCCCAAGAGACCUAGACGAUCGAUGAAAGGAAUC
Molecule: long non-coding RNA, 609 nt
Filed under: Vulpes vulpes (red fox)
Lineage: Eukaryota; Metazoa; Chordata; Mammalia; Carnivora; Canidae
Description: lncRNA (ENSVVUG00000022198.1)
Source: RNAcentral